AUGCACCAUAUAUAUUCUCUCCUGCCACUGCGAGAUGCUGCUCGUGCCGCCUGCGUCUCCCAUGGAUUUCUGCUUUUCUGGAGAUGCUAUUCCAACCUUACAUUCAACGUGUCAACACUUGGGUUGGCUCGCAAGAAAUCCGAGGAUUGGGGAAUCUUUCUCAUCGAUAUAGUUGACUGCAUUCUUAGGAACCAUUCUGGGAAUGGGGUGGAGACACUCGAUCUGUGCCUCCUAUCUUGCGAAAAUAUUGACCCUUCCUACCUGGACAGAUGGCUGCAGAUUGCUGUUCGUUUGGGGAUCAAAGAACUUAAGUUGGAGAUGACUAACUUCAUGAAGAAAAAGUACAGCUUCCCAUGUUCGGUUCUGUCUGAUGAUGCAGCUGCAAGUUCGAUUCGGUCUCUUUGCCUCAGCGCUUGCGUCUUUCGUCCCACAACAACACUUGGCUGCUUGAGAAGACUGAACGCAUUAUCCCUGUUUUCUGUCCAGAUUACUGAUGAGGGAUUAGGGCACUUGCUCUCGAAAUCUUUCGCCUUGCAGCAGUUAUUUAUCUUCGGAUGCAAUGCGAUAACAUGCGUGAAGAUACCUUCCAUGCUGCAGCAACUCAAGCUCCUCACUAUUAAAUUGUGUGAGAAGCUGCAGGUGGUAGAGAUCAAUGCUCCAAGGCUCUCCUCUUUUCACUUUGAUGGAGCGCUAGUAAAAAUCUCGGUUGUGGAUCCUUCACCGCUUAGGGAUGUCUAUUUUUCAUCUCCCCGUCAGUCCCGCAUGCUGUCUUAUGCUCGUACGAGGCUUCCAUCCAUCACACGAAAUGUUAGGUGCCUGACCCUGGUGUCUUCUGAUGAGGUAUGCAUUGGGUUUUUACAGGUUAUUCUGUAUAAACAUAUAAAGUGGAUGGUUAUGAUACAAUAG
This 906-nucleotide ribosomal RNA is filed under the name Triticum aestivum (bread wheat). RNAcentral describes it as "partial small subunit ribosomal RNA". Lineage: Eukaryota; Viridiplantae; Streptophyta; Magnoliopsida; Poales; Poaceae. The record is from RNAcentral.